CGAUGGUUGAGUAGUCAUUGGUACUCCC
This 28-nucleotide small RNA is filed under the name Bombyx mori (domestic silkworm). RNAcentral's name for it is "ovarian small RNA-14280". Lineage: Eukaryota; Metazoa; Arthropoda; Insecta; Lepidoptera; Bombycidae. The record is from RNAcentral.